GGAAGUAAAAGUCGUAACAAGGUUUCCGUAGAACAAGUUUCUUGGGACWCUCRCUGUGAUCYUUCUGUAUGUACACUUGCUGAAGCCUUAGUGGGCCCAAAAGGUCGACCGAUAAAUGCGACUCUAACAAGCGGUCACCCACUGCCUAUCUGUGAGGAUGGUGUGGGUCGCUAGUCAGGUUCCCAACACUAACAAGAGAGGGAAGCCUUCGUUCUGAAGGUCUGGCGACACUUUCGAAUUGCGGGAACACCCUAAAGCCAAGUCCUACCAACCUACUGGGGAAACCUAGGUGGGGGCUCAUGCUAACUACAUGAGAUAUGGUAAAAAGGGACUUGGAUACAUCUGGCCUCUAGGCUGGAAAUUAUGGGCGAUCCGCAGCCAAGCCCUAACGUGUCAUCUUCCCCGUUCAAGGGGUGAAUGAGCUAUGGGACAGGUUCACAGACUAAGUGGAAGUGGGCAGGUUGAUGGAAACAUCUUCUUGCUUAAGAUAUAGUCGGGCCCUCGGGGAAACUCGAGUGGGUGAAACCGUACAUGCGUCUUCUUCUGUCCUAGAAUAGAAAGAGUAGGGGGAGGAUCUCGUUCCUUAUCACCCUUUCUAUCUGGCAGGUCAGAAGGAGUACAUCGCUCUCUCCAUAUUUGGUAAUUUGCCGCAUACGUACGUACGUACCUGUUCCGUAGGUGAACCUGCGGAAGGAUCAUUA
This 701-nucleotide ribosomal RNA is filed under the name Trichoglossum hirsutum. Its description in RNAcentral is "partial 18S ribosomal RNA". The stretch from base 142 to 517 matches the Rfam family "Group I catalytic intron". From Rfam's summary of the family: Group I catalytic introns are large self-splicing ribozymes. Lineage: Eukaryota; Fungi; Ascomycota; Geoglossomycetes; Geoglossales; Geoglossaceae. The record is from RNAcentral.